Molecule: long non-coding RNA, 254 nt
Organism: Ipomoea nil (Japanese morning glory)
Lineage: Eukaryota; Viridiplantae; Streptophyta; Magnoliopsida; Solanales; Convolvulaceae
Exons: 3
Source: RefSeq, a predicted model, not a curated record
GUGUGGAGGCUGGACAUCAACUUGGUUGGGAACCAACGGCAGACUCAUUAUUAUUGGGCACAUGGCAUGUGGGGCACAUGACACUAUCCAUUGUUAAAUUGAACUAUGGAUCAAGGUCUGAAACUGAAGUAUGUCAUUGGUUCUUUGACUGAACAUAGUAAGGGCAUUACAUGCUUAGCUUUCAGUAUGGAUGGAUCCCUGUUGGUGUCUGGAUCAGAGGAUGGCACGAUUUGAGUUUGGGAUACUAAAAACCA